Molecule: transfer RNA, 77 nt
Filed under: Alphaproteobacteria bacterium
Lineage: Bacteria; Pseudomonadati; Pseudomonadota; Alphaproteobacteria
Also listed under: 2 other names
Description: tRNA-Arg
Rfam family: tRNA
About the family: Transfer RNA (tRNA) molecules are approximately 80 nucleotides in length.
Source: RNAcentral
GUCCCCGUAGCUCAGCAGGAUAGAGCAACAGUUUCCUAAACUGUGGGUCGCAGGUUCGAGUCCUGCCGGGGACGCCA